GAGAUCCAGUGGGCCUUGGACAUCCCAGCCAUAGAGGAGUUCGAAUGCAUCCUCUUCAGGGUCUGGUUGAAACGUUCCACCAAGCCAUUGGUCUGUGGGUGGUACGGUGUCGCCUUGAUGGCAGUGAUGCCAAGCUGCUGUUGGAACAGUUUCAUCAGCCGAGAGGAGCUGUAAUGGUGCGCAGUGGAAAAGCUUCUGGGAACCGUGUAGCAUAAUCACAGACCACCAGGAUGUGUUCGUGACCGCUACUGCUCUUAGGUGACCCGCCCAUGGGAGUGUGUGCGCUAAUUGCAUGACGAGUGGCCUGCAGGUGGUUGGAAGAACUAACCGUAGGUGUUCACCUUCAGCUGCAUACAGAACAUCAUCAACAACAAUAAACCGCACAUUUCCCAAACAUUUGUCACUCUCUGUUGUCACCUUGGCAAACAAUGGUUUUAAAGUUUGGUCUUCUUUCUGCAAAGCCGAAAUGUCAGCUGGUAUGUCAAAUGUUUCUCCUGUUGUUGUGAUCUCAGGAUCCGGCAACUUAAGUUUUUUCUCAAACCGUCUUUGACGACGUGUUUUUCUGGGCAUUUCUUUGCCUCUAUCAAAGAAAUUGUCAUCCAAACGUGGAAGACUUUGCAUCCCCGCUUUAGCCUGAGCUCUAGUUAGCACGGGAGCUGAGACAGUAACAGCUAGCUCACCAUUAGCUUUAGCUGUUUCAGUUAAUAAGUCCCCCAACAUAGGUAAAUCACACCCCAAAAUUAAAUCAACAGGUAGGUUCUCUACCACCCAGACAGUCAAAAGAUAUGAUUGUUCAUUUAUGGUCACAGUUACAUCCGCUUUUGGGUACAAAUGUUUGUCGCCAUGAACACACACAUUUGUUUGCCUGCUGUAAUCAAGUCCACCAAAAGGGAUUAAACUCUGUUUGACCAGAGAAACAAAACUGCCAGUGUCCAACAUAGCAGUAACCUGCUGUCCGUUCACAGUCACCUGUUUAAGUGGCUGGAAAGUGUCUUUGUCCAUGUGCACAGGCCCUGCUCCUGCGACAGUCUCUGGCCUGGGUGCGUAGCAAGCACCUGUGAAUUUAGUCUUGCGGAUUGGACAUACGGAGGCUUUGUGACCAAUCUGCUGGCAAUAGAAACACACAAGGUCUCAGUGGAGCGGUUUGAAUGGGAAGACGCUGAUCCCCACCCGAUGGCCGUGUAGACGCCCCUCGUCGAGCGUUGAGCUACUGCAGCGCAAGCCGGGCAGCAGUGAGGCCAUCCUCCGGUUCGUGCUCCUUCACCCACGUCCUCACGUCCGCGGGAAGCACACGCAGCAGCUGCUCCAGGAUGACGAUCUCCCCGAUCUGCUCCUUGCUGUGUUGCUCUGGGUGGAUCCAGCGACGGUAGAGGCCCUUCAGGCGGUGGUCUUUGUAGAUGUGGGCUUGCUGCUCGUCCAUUGCUGUGUAGGCCUCCAACGCCUUUCCGGACAGCAGUGGCACCAGGCGACAUGCCCACUCAGUCUCUGGCCAUCUCCACGUCCUGGCAAUCCGUUCAAAACGUAGCAGCUGGAGUCCUCUGCGACUGAGCUUGGUCCAGCGCCUUGGGGGCUGGUGUUCCGCCUUCGACCAGAAUGGUGCUCUGCCCUGGAAAAAGAGGCUUCCAAACCUUGGAGUGCAGCGAUGAAUCUGUCCUCCCGCUGCUGCUGUCCACGGAGGAAGUCUCUCAUCAUGGCCGCCAAGUCACCUUCUGGGCCUUUGGUCAGGCCUGGAGAACCACCAGAGGCACCAGGAUCCACCACCUCCUCCUCAGAGGAGAAAUUGGACGAUUGAGGGCCUGUGUCCGAUGUUGGUUCCAUCUCCUCCUUCUGGGAACGCAGACCUCUGUGUCUCACCUUUUUGCGGCCAGCCAUCUGCUUAUCCCACUUCUGACACCAACUGUCGUGGGUCCCACCAGGGAAUAAUUGGGCAGAGGCGCCAAGGUGAAAGUAUUCUUGACUUUAAUGCAAGAACAGAGCACACCAAUUGCUCCACAAAGGUUAACCAACAUCUGUUUCUCUCCUCUCAGACUCUCCAACUUCUCCACUCAGACUCCCACACUGACAGCUGUAUCUGGUUCUUUUUUAAGUGGUAAGCCCCUCCUCCUGGGCGUUGCUCUCCAUCAGUCCAAAGAGAAAAUAGGGAGAAGUGUUUGCAUUGUUCAACAACAUAAAUAAACAUACAGAAAUAAACAG
Oryzias latipes (Japanese medaka) is the source of this 2193-nucleotide non-coding RNA. The record is from RefSeq and is a predicted model, not a curated record. Lineage: Eukaryota; Metazoa; Chordata; Actinopteri; Beloniformes; Adrianichthyidae.